Molecule: ribosomal RNA, 547 nt
Filed under: uncultured bacterium
Lineage: Bacteria
Description: bacterial SSU rRNA
Rfam family: Bacterial small subunit ribosomal RNA
Source: RNAcentral
ACGAACGCUGGCGGCGUGCCUAAUACACGCCCCUUGAAGGCUGAAGAGAGGAGCUUGUUCUUCUUGGAAGACUCCCUAACGGGUGAGUAACGCGUAGGUAACCUGCCUUGUAGCGGGGGAUAACUAUUGGAAACGAUAGCUAAUACCGCAUAACCAUGGGUGACCCAUGUCAUUCAUUUGAAAGGGGCAACUGCUCCACUACAAGAUGGACCUGCGUUGUAUUAGCUAGUAGGUGAGGUAACGGCUCACCUAGGCGACGAUACAUAGCCGACCUGAGAGGGUGAUCGGCCACACUGGGACUGAGACACGGCCCAGACUCCUACGGGAGGCAGCAGUAGGGAAUCUUCGGCAAUGGGGGCAACCCUGACCGAGCAACGCCGCGUGAGUGAAGAAGGUUUUCGGAUCGUAAAGCUCUGUUGUAAGUCAAGAACGAGUGUGAGAGUGGAAAGUUCACACUGUGACGGUAGCUUACCCAGAAAGGGACGGCUAACUACGUGCCAGCAGCCGCGGUAAUACGUAGGUCCCGAGCGUUGUCCGGAUUUAUUGG